CGUGCUGAAAUCUGCAGGCUUCCCCUGCUCCCUGUAAUGUGGUCUGCUUUCUCCUUAUCACGAAAAGCAUGUUGAUGAUGAAUUCCACAGUCCCUCCAUCUGUGACCUUUCCCUGCUCAGCAGAGCACAGGUAAUUGUAUUCAGAGAUAUUUUCCAGCCUUGAAGGAGCAGCUGCUGGUGACACAGAGGGCAUUUCAAGCUUGCAGGCGCUUGGCUUCACACGCUUCUGGAAAACUAAAGGCUUCCAUUGUGGGAACAGUACAGAACCUUAUGAAAUGCAAUGCCAAAGGAGGCUUGGAUCUUGUCAGCUCUUAUUGCUCAUGCCAGAAAGCCAAGACUUCUGUGGCUGAAGUCCUGGCAUUACCCUUCCACACAUCAAACACCUGUGAAGAAGAACCUAAGGUCAAGAUGGUACCAAUUGCAGCAGAGAUGCAGAUUCCAGACCCAUACUGACAGGGUGCACCGCACUUAGUGAUCUGCCUCUAAGGAAAGGAAUUGAGCAGAAGUGGUACAAUGUGAUUUCCAAAGGAUGCUUUGUCAAUCUGAUGAGGAUGUUUGGGUAUAAAUUCCACUCUGCUGGGCUGAAAAUGGAAGAAUAUUUCGCCUUCCUGAGAACAACAAAGAAACUGGGGAAAGAACAAAGAAAAUGUGAAGGAAAAACAAAAUCCAAACUUGGUACAAAACAAGAAAAGAUUUUAAGACUUGCUGUUUUCUUUCCUUCUGAUCAUUCUCAAUGCAAUGAAAAAAAAAAAACACACUGGCCUCCACUCUGAUUUUAAGAUUUAAGAGUUUUUGUAUGGUAGAGAAAGGCUCAGUUUUUCUUUCUCUUUUUCUUAACCCAAAUAAAUAGAAGGAUUCAGUAUGGACUAAAUCAUAACAUGAUCCUGAGUCACUGAAAAGAGAGGUAGAAGCAUCUACACACUCACACACUUGCGCAUUGAUUCCUGUGUAUCAGACAGAAUUAUUUUCUGCUUAUAGAUCUUGAAGUCCUCAGAAAUACAUACAACGUCUUCCUUUACUUAUAUGUGAGUGUUUACCAACAAGAGUGGUUCACAGUAAGUACUCAGUAAAUGACAAGUGGAUGGGUGGAUGGAUAGAUGGAUUGGUGGAUGAUUUAGCCCUAAGAAGUAGCUAGAAGGAAAAGGAAAAGUAAGUGUAUAUCAUUCAUUCUGAAUAAUCAACAGUUUGGAAAUGUCCUUCCUUUCAAUCAUCCUCAUGAAGGCCUGUUAAAAUUAGAUAGUGGUGAAAACUGAAAUC
Long non-coding RNA from Canis lupus familiaris (dog), 1257 nucleotides. RefSeq lists it as uncharacterized. The transcript is spliced from 4 exons. Lineage: Eukaryota; Metazoa; Chordata; Mammalia; Carnivora; Canidae. The record is from RefSeq and is a predicted model, not a curated record.